AUCCACCUCGUCUGAUCCACUCUUUGCCGCCGCACCGCUCGCAGCCCAGCUGAAGGAUUUCAAUUUCCGGACUUCGCUGGUCGACGUGCCCAUCAUAUCUGCAGCCAGAUCACUCCUCAUCCUAUGUAAGAAGGGAAUCCAGUACUUCUAAGGGAAUUAAUCGUGUCACUGGAUGAAUUGGUAUUCAUUGGCAUCAUAUUGGUUGCAGGUGUUUAUGUGGUUUGUGGCGGACGGGGGCUGUACCUGGGGGUGGCGACGCUGUGUGGUUUCGGCUCGAUGGGGUACGUGUUGGCUAAGGGCAUUGGGAUGUACCGGGCGGCGGCC
Molecule: long non-coding RNA, 324 nt
Filed under: Elaeis guineensis (African oil palm)
Lineage: Eukaryota; Viridiplantae; Streptophyta; Magnoliopsida; Arecales; Arecaceae
Description: long non-coding RNA (EGUI_LNC010724)
Source: RNAcentral